This 325-nucleotide ribosomal RNA is filed under the name uncultured bacterium. RNAcentral describes it as "bacterial SSU rRNA". It matches the Rfam family "Bacterial small subunit ribosomal RNA", at positions 28 to 334 of the family's 1533-position model. The record is from RNAcentral.
GACGAACGCUGGCGGCGUGCCUAACACAUGCAAGUCGAGCGGGAAUUUACAAAUUGAUUCCUUCGGGAUGAUUUUUGUAAAGGAUAGCGGCGGACGGGUGAGUAACGCGUGAGUAACCUGCCCUUAAGAGGGGGAUAACACACCGAAAGGUGUGCUAAUACCGCAUAAUGUGCAUUUAUCGCAUGGUAGAUGUACCAAAGAUUUAUCGCUUAAGGAUGGACUCGCGUCUGAUUAGAUAGUUGGUGAGGUAACGGCUCACCAAGUCGACGAUCAGUAGCCGAACUGAGAGGUUGAUCGGCCACAUUGGGACUGAGACACGGCCCAG